AGUGAACGCUGGCGGUAGGCCUAACACAUGCCAGUCGAACGGCAGCACAGUAAGAGCUUGCUCUUACGGGUGGCGAGUGGCGGACGGGUGAGGAAUACAUCGGAAUCUACUUUUUCGUGGGGGAUAACGUAGGGAAACUUACGCUAAUACCGCAUACGACCUACGGGUGAAAGCAGGGGAUCUUCUGACCUUGCGCGAUUGAAUGAGCCGAUGUCGGAUUAGCUAGUUGGCGGGGUAAAGGCCCACCAAGGCGACGAUCCGUAGCUGGUCUGAGAGGAGGAUCGGCCACACUGGAACUGAGACACGGUCCAGACUCCUACGGGAGGCAGCAGUGGGGAAUAUUGGACAAUGGGCGCAAGCCUGAUCCAGCCAUACCGCGUGGGUGAAGAAGGCCUUCGGGUUGUAAAGCCCUUUUGUUGGGAAAGAAAAGCAGCAGGUUAAUACCCCGCUGUUCUGACGGUACCCAAAGAAUAAGCACCGGCUAACUUCGUG
RNAcentral lists this ribosomal RNA (492 nucleotides) under uncultured bacterium. RNAcentral describes it as "partial 16S ribosomal RNA". It matches the Rfam family "Bacterial small subunit ribosomal RNA", at positions 29 to 507 of the family's 1533-position model. The record is from RNAcentral.